CAUAAGAAGAAGCUGACAAAUCAAUGUCCUCAAAAAAUGCAUCCUUUAAUAAUUAGAGCAGUAUAGUAAAAUUCUUACCAAACUAUUCAUUCAAAUAUUUUAAAUAAAAUAGAUACAUAAGAAAAAAAAUUUUAAAAAGUUCUUACAACCUGGAUAUGGUUCUUGAUCAUAAUCUUUCAACAAAUUAUGAAAUCAAUAUUGUAUCUCAUCAUUAAAUAAAUGUCGGGGCCAUGCAACAUGCAUA
This 244-nucleotide long non-coding RNA is filed under the name Elaeis guineensis (African oil palm). RNAcentral describes it as "long non-coding RNA (EGUI_LNC009020)". The record is from RNAcentral. Lineage: Eukaryota; Viridiplantae; Streptophyta; Magnoliopsida; Arecales; Arecaceae.